UCCCACCUCCCAUCUGCAACACUAUAAAAGCAGGCAAACUUCCUGAUCUCUGCUUGCCUUGCCUCAAGGGCAACACCCUCACUGCUCCAGCUUUGCCGUGUGGCGGACCAGCUAACUCCUGAAUCUACCUCCAUCCAUCUGGUUUUGUGUAUGUCAAGGCUGUGCAGAAGAGGGAAGAAAGAACCUAAACACAAUUAUAUUUAAAAAUUCAUAAACUGCUAGACAUCUGGAAUGGAAAUAGAAAAAAAAAAUCCCUGAAGUAUCAACACUGCCCUGUAUGAAUCAGCAAACUACAGUCACAUAGCCUGCACUAGUGUCCAUGUCAUGCAUUUCACUUAAAUAUAAUUCAGAGGAACAGCACUGUAUAACUAAAGAACUCUUGAACCAUACAUAAUGCAAACACCAAUGAUGGCAACCUAACCAGUUUGUUUUUCUGAAGGAUCACAGUAAUUAAAAUAAAGAUAAUGUAAGAUUAGCUAAAUUAUGGGGAUUAUAGAGAAGAAUAUCAAUGUAGCAUUUCUGGACUACAAAAUUCAGUAUUUGUCAAACAUCUAUAGAACUUAAUAUAGAAUGAGAUGUUACUGACUACUACAGUCUGUUAAAAAAAAUGGCAAAACAUGCAGAAAGAAAGAAUUCCUGGAAGAAUGUUUUAACAGGUGUGAACUGCUCCAACCACUGCCAUCAGCUCAACAGUAUUACACAAUCAGGGAAGGGUGCAUUUUUCCAAGAAUUGAUAUCCAGUACUGAGAGAAAAAUAUAUAGAUAAAUAAAGAGAUUACCACUUUGCAAUAGUUAUUCAUCUGACAUUUCACUUCAAUACCAUAUCUACUUCCAAAUGUCUCUGGCUAUUUUCAUGCAAAAGGGAGUUAAUAAAUUUGGACCAUAAAAUCAAUAUUGUUCCACAGAAUCACACCAUGAGGUCAAGGUGGCAGAUCUGACACAGGCAGUAGGCCACAGGGACAGCUGGACUGCCUUGAAGGCUCUUCUGAAGAACAAAACAAUCAAGGAAAGACUGAAGAAGUGACUUGCCUAUGGCAAUUAUCUUUUACAAAUCAUCUGAAUUGUGAUUGUCAAUAAAACCUCAAUUUAAGUGGACGGACAUAAAUAAUUUUAAUUCCCAUUAACAUUUUCAAAUAGACCCUGUAGUAUAAGAAACAUGGGAUUUUGGCAGAAAAGGGUAUCACGUGCUGACAGAGUAAGCCUGCUGUGGAAAUUCAGUCUAAUCCUCCAAGAGACACUCGAGAUACAAAUUACUCUAGAGGCAUUAAAAGCAAGAUGCAAAUUAGUUUAAAAAUAGCCACCAUGGUUUGUUAGACAAGUAAGUUCCAUGAUCAGUUAAUUUGCUAUUCUUAAAACUUUAUAAAUUAACAUAAAUGUCACACAUCUGUAGCACACCAUUUCUAUCUCCAAGGAAAGCAGAACAUUAAAAAAAAGCCAGCAUUCAGAUUCAUUAUAUUUGACAGAAAAAAAAUGAAUGCCAACAGAAGAAGGACUUCUGUCCAUGCAGCAUUUUUCUUUACAAAACUUUUAAUGUUAUGGACAUUUGGCACCAUGUUGGAACAGUUUGCAAACUGUGUAUUAUUUUACACUGCACUUGACUGAGGUUUUUAUGUUCUCUUUGGUAUUACUGGCAAUAGAGAAUUCUGUUUUACAGUAA
Long non-coding RNA from Pogoniulus pusillus (Red-fronted tinkerbird), 1657 nucleotides. RefSeq lists it as uncharacterized. Lineage: Eukaryota; Metazoa; Chordata; Aves; Piciformes; Lybiidae. The transcript is spliced from 2 exons. The record is from RefSeq and is a predicted model, not a curated record.